ACCCUCUUCCCCUCGGCCACGCCCCUAGUUAGCGUGUAAGCGGCUAGCUAUUCGCUAGUGUCAAAACACUGUUGCAUAAAACUGGCACAUCAGGGGGAAAACGGAGUGAAUCUCCGUCGUGUACGUCUUUUCUAAACUGUUCGCUGUGCUGUUGCCUGUGAGAGGUAUGUGACUGCGUACCAGACGCUUCCGGGUAGCAUAUUGUUGAGCUACCGAAGGUCUGUGCUGGAAGACGAUAUAUGUACGCGCACUCUGUUUUGCCUUUUGGAACGCCAGUCAAGGUUUGCACACGGGGAGAUAACUGGAAUCCGAUUUCCAUCUAGGUGGAAUGUUGUACCCAUAGAGAACUAGAGGGUUGAAGCUGUGUCGGAUCGGAGUCCUCCUCUUCGCGCACCGCACACCGUAUUUGUAGUGGUAACGUUCACCUCACCAUUUGCAGUGAUUUAUAUUUUGUAGUGAGUGUGUGUGUGUAUGCGUGUGCCUCUGUGUGAAUAGGCAAUUGAAUCAGCAGCACGGGUGGUGUGUCGGUCUCACUCCGCUUCCAGGACAGGUAACCCCUUCUAAACAGCUGAUCCAUUAAAGCCAUUAUUUUUCUUGUGCAUCUUCAAAGUCCUGGUGGCAGCCACUACCUCCCUCUGACCGGCCUAUGGGGCCUACUCAGUGUCAUCAUUCUGAGAAAUAAACCCCAGACUGUUUUUUACUGCAUUAUUUAAUAAACAUUGUUAUACUUUUAUACGGCAA
Rhinichthys klamathensis goyatoka is the source of this 741-nucleotide long non-coding RNA. RefSeq lists it as uncharacterized. NCBI's taxonomy places the organism in Eukaryota, Metazoa, Chordata, Actinopteri, Cypriniformes, Leuciscidae. The record is from RefSeq and is a predicted model, not a curated record. The transcript has 4 exons.